GUUAGUUCUAUCAUCAUUGCAAUUUAUAGAUAUUGUGGGAUGCCUAGCACCCCACCAAGGUAGGUUUCUGCUCAGGAGGUGUGAGCCACAUGAGAAAUUAAGAAGUCUGAAAUAAUUAGUAAGAAAUAGAAAGAGCCAGAAAUUAGAUAUAAAGGGGGGCAUCUGUUAGGUCUUCCAGUCCUGAUAGGAACUAAAACUGAACAACUGAAAAAUGGCCCCAAUUCUUUAUUUAAAGGGGAGUACAUCAAAAACAGGGAUAAGGUUUCAGAGGAAGGAGUCUUGGUAGUAUUGGUUCAGUGCUUGUUUCUUGGUGGGUGUGGCAGUAGUCUUGCAGUAAACGGGUUAAUUGGCAUUUUGACAAGCCACACCCAUCUCCAAAAGGCUGUGUGGUUCAGAUGGGUCACCCCAUCUCAGAUAAUGUGCUGAACUUGUGAUGGAGCUAUGUAGGAAGCCAUAUGAACCAGGUGUUCUCAAACCAGCAGGAUUGCUGCUGGGAGUUCCCAACAUCAGACUUUCCUGUCUAAUGGCUUCAACAUUAUUUUAAUUCAUGGAUGGCUCCCAGCAUAGACUUAUUUGUAUUAAUUAAUCUCACCCCCCCCCUGUUUUAUUGAUACCAAGGAUUGAACCCAGAGGUGCUUAACCACUCAGCUAUGUCCCCUGCCC
This 663-nucleotide long non-coding RNA is filed under the name Marmota monax (woodchuck). Lineage: Eukaryota; Metazoa; Chordata; Mammalia; Rodentia; Sciuridae. The record is from RNAcentral.